GUACUGUGAAGGAAAGGUGAAAAGGACCCCGGGAGGGGAGUGAAAGAGAACCUGAAACCAUAUGUUUACAAGCUGUGGAAGCACUUUUGUAAGUGCGACCGCGUACUUUUUGUAGAACGGUCCGGCGAGUUACGCCGGCUGGCAAGGUUAAGGGCUUUAAAGGCCCGGAGCCGAAGGGAAACCAAGUCUGAAUAGGGCGAGCACAAGUCAGUCGGAGUAGACCCGAAACCGGGUGAUCUAUCCAUGUCCAGGUUGAAGUUGCCGUAAAAGGCAAUGGAGGACCGAACCCACAUCCGUUGAAAAGGGUGGGGAUGAGGUGUGGAUAGGGGAGAAAUUCCAAUGGAGCCCGGAGAUAGCUGGUUCUCCUCGAAAUAGCUUUAGGGCUAGCCUCAUA
This 394-nucleotide non-coding RNA is filed under the name Clostridium sp. C105KSO13. RNAcentral describes it as "Bacterial large subunit ribosomal RNA". It matches the Rfam family "Bacterial large subunit ribosomal RNA", at positions 498 to 886 of the family's 2925-position model. The record is from Rfam by way of RNAcentral. Lineage: Bacteria; Bacillati; Bacillota; Clostridia; Eubacteriales; Clostridiaceae.